Molecule: ribosomal RNA, 497 nt
Filed under: uncultured bacterium
Lineage: Bacteria
Description: partial 16S ribosomal RNA
Rfam family: Bacterial small subunit ribosomal RNA
Source: RNAcentral
GAUGAACGCUGGCGGCGUGCCUAAUACAUGCAAGUCGAGCGAACAGACGAGGAGCUUGCUCCUCUGACGUUAGCGGCGGACGGGUGAGUAACACGUGGAUAACCUACCUAUAAGACUGGGAUAACUUCGGGAAACCGGAGCUAAUACCGGAUAAUAUAUUGAACCGCAUGGUUCAAUAGUGAAAGACGGUUUUGCUGUCACUUAUAGAUGUAUCCGCGCCGCAUUAGCUAGUUGGUAAGGUAACGGCUUACCAAGGCAACGAUGCGUAGCCGACCUGAGAGGGUGAUCGGCCACACUGGAACUGAGACACGGUCCAGACUCCUGCGGGAGGCAGCAGUAGGGAAUCUUCCGCAAUGGGCGAAAGCCUGACGGAGCAACGCCGCGUGAGUGAUGAAGGUCUUCGGAUCGUAAAACUCUGUUAUUAGGGAAGAACAAAUGUGUAAGUAACUAUGCACGUCUUGACGGUACCUAAUCAGAAAGCCACGGCUAACUACGUG